This 450-nucleotide ribosomal RNA is filed under the name uncultured bacterium. Its description in RNAcentral is "partial 16S ribosomal RNA". It matches the Rfam family "Bacterial small subunit ribosomal RNA", at positions 354 to 796 of the family's 1533-position model. The record is from RNAcentral.
GUGGGGAAUCUUCCGCAAUGGACGAAAGUCUGACGGAGCAACGCCGCGUGAGUGAUGAAGGUCUUCGGAUUGUAAAGCUCUGUUAAUCGGGACGAAAGAGCCUAGUGUGAAUAAUGCUAGGAAGUGACGGUACCGGAAUAGAAAGCCACGGCUAACUACGUGCCAGCAGCCGCGGUAAUACGUAGGUGGCAAGCGUUGUCCGGAAUUAUUGGGCGUAAAGCACGCGCAGGCGGAUCUGCCAGUCUGUCUUAAAAGUUCGGGGCUUAACCCCGUGAUGGGAUGGAAACUACAGAUCUAGAGUAUCGGAGAGGAAAGUGGAAUUCCUAGUGUAGCGGUGAAAUGCGUAGAUAUUAGGAAGAACACCAGUGGCGAAGGCGACUUUCUGGACGAAAACUGACGCUGAGGCGCGAAAGCCAGGGGAGCGAACGGGAUUAGAAACCCGUGUAGUCC